CCUACGGGAGGCAGCAGUAGGGAAUCUUCCACAAUGGACGAAAGUCUGAUGGAGCAACGCCGCGUGAGUGAAGAAGGGUUUCGGCUCGUAAAGCUCUGUUGGUAGUGAAGAAAGUUAGAGGUAGUAACUGGCCAUUAUUUGACGGUAAUUACUUAGAAAGUCACGGCUAACUACGUGCCAGCAGCUGCGGUAAUACGUAGGUGGCAAGCGUUGUCCGGAUUUAUUGGGCGUAAAGCGAGUGCAGGCGGGUCAAUAAGUCUGAUGUGAAAGGCUAGGGCUCAACCGGAGAAUUGCAUCAGAAACUGAUGAGCUGGAGUGCAGGAGAGGAGAGUGGAACUCCAAGUGUAGCGGUGGAAUGCGUAGAUAUAUGGAAGAACACCAGUGGCGAAGGCGGCUCUCUGGUCUGCAACUGACGCUGAGGCUCGAAAGCAUGGGUAGCGAACAGGAUUAGAUACCCGAGUAGUC
Molecule: ribosomal RNA, 465 nt
Filed under: uncultured bacterium
Lineage: Bacteria
Description: partial 16S ribosomal RNA
Rfam family: Bacterial small subunit ribosomal RNA
Source: RNAcentral